Molecule: ribosomal RNA, 233 nt
Filed under: uncultured bacterium
Lineage: Bacteria
Description: partial 16S ribosomal RNA
Rfam family: Bacterial small subunit ribosomal RNA
Source: RNAcentral
UGAGCAACCUGCCCUUCACAUUAGGAUAACCCCGGGAAACCAGGGCUAAUACCGAAUACGACCACCGACGACAUCGUCUGGUGGUGGAAAGCUCCGGCGGUGCAGGAUGGGCUUGCGGCCUAUCAGCUUGUUGGUGGGGUAGUGGCCCACCAAGGCGACGACGGGUAGCCGGCCUGAGAGGGUGACCGGCCACACUGGGACUGAGACACGGCCCAGACUCCUACGGGAGGCAG